CAGUAUCAGUGCUAGAGGGACUGAACGAACUUCAAAUCAUCGCUGUGCAAUUCGAAGAGAAGAUUUAUACUGAAGCGACCAGUCAGGUAAUUUAAUCCGUCUACUCGAAGCAGAGCACAGUUUAUUUUAUUUUUAGUUAUGGGGGUCAAACAAGGUUUAUGGGCUAAUAAUAGAGCAGAACUGUCUCCAAAUGUUGUAGAGGAUACUUUUUAAGUCAUGUUUAGUACCAUGUAUAAGGCGGUGGUCAUUGCGACGACACACGUCAGGUCAGCUAAUUGCUUCUGUUUCUUUCAACCAGUAGUACGUAGCAGCUAUGGAGUGAGAUGUGCUAAUUAAUUUGUACCACCGUACGCUUACAGAGUUCCCCUUUCUUUUCUUUUUAUGUGUAAUAGCCAAGAUGAUGUGCUUUACACUUACAACUCGUGCUGACUGAAUCGGAGCAAGCCUCCUGCCAGUUCCACCAUGUAACACUCUGCAGGUACAGCUCAAAUAUUGCUCUGUUUCUCCCAAAUUUAGUCGAUCAGAUUUCUAGCUAUCUUGUUCCUUUUAGUAUGUUCCGACGUGCAUGCAUUCUAAAGCUGCGCAUGCUUAUAUAAAACGCAAGCAUGAUCUCAGUCACAUUGUAUUCAGCUUGUGAACACAUAUAUUUUACACGUACCCCUGUUUGUAGCAAAGAAGACUUCCUUAAUUUUCUACCUGCUGACAGAGUUUCACAUCUCAGGUUGUCGAAAUAAGAUAGUGCUCUGUAGUGCAUUCCGAUUCAGUUGGGUACCCUGGAGCCCCACCAUCCUGCAGUAAUUAUUCAUCCCAUUGUCGACAAUUACAAGAUGGGACCCAACUUCAAGAGAGGCCAAAUGGUUUCUCCAUACGGCGGAACAUCACAGUAGCAUUUCCUUGUAAAUUUCAGUGUUGCACUGUUUAAUCAGCUGAUCUCAUUCUAAAAAUUCAGUGAUGGUGGUACCGAGUACAGAGUACAGAGUACAGACAAAUGUGCAAAGCUCAGGCAGAAUCAAUGGCUGGGACUGGGAGAUGUCGUUCCAAGUAGCCUCUUGGAUGGUCGUCGUAAGUACCUUCACAUUGAAUUAGCAGCAAAGCCUCUUCAUUUCGAGCAGUGAUGUAGCCCGUAUUGGUAAACUAGUGUUGGGGAACAUAGCAGAAAUUUAAAAUUUUCCUACG
Molecule: long non-coding RNA, 1176 nt
Filed under: Triticum aestivum (bread wheat)
Lineage: Eukaryota; Viridiplantae; Streptophyta; Magnoliopsida; Poales; Poaceae
Description: long non-coding RNA (TAES_LNC021839)
Source: RNAcentral